AUGUAUGCUAUAAUGAAUAAUGAUAACCAUGAAACUUGUCAUCUUGAUUUUAAUUUUCAAUUGGAUUAUGCCUCACAUGAUAGUUAUUUUGUUGACUUUGCUCCCACUAUUACGAAUGAGAAGAAUUUUGCUAAUGUGGAGAGUAGUAAAAUUUCUAUGCUUGUGGAUCAUGAAAAGAAUGAUUUAUGUGAUGGCUAUAUUGUUGAAUUCAUUCAUGAUGCUACUGAAAAUUAUUAUGAGGGAGGAACAUAUGCUUCUACAUAUUGCAAAUAUCAAGUUUCCUCUCUAUGUGUUGAAAAUCUUGAAGUUAUGCUUACUUUACUUUCCUAUGCUAGUUGA
RNAcentral lists this ribosomal RNA (339 nucleotides) under Triticum aestivum (bread wheat). Its description in RNAcentral is "partial small subunit ribosomal RNA". Lineage: Eukaryota; Viridiplantae; Streptophyta; Magnoliopsida; Poales; Poaceae. The record is from RNAcentral.